This 3031-nucleotide long non-coding RNA is filed under the name Mus caroli (Ryukyu mouse). Its description in RNAcentral is "RIKEN cDNA D630014O11 gene (MGP_CAROLIEiJ_G0034476.1)". Lineage: Eukaryota; Metazoa; Chordata; Mammalia; Rodentia; Muridae. The record is from RNAcentral.
GGGGAUGCAGAAGCAAAAGCCUCCCGGAAGAAGGUGCUAUUCUCCAAGCAGCCUCCUCAGUCCCAAGGCCACAAGAUGGAUCACAAUGCCACAACCCUAGGUGGAGAAAUAAAGUAAGUUGAACUCCACCUGAAGUUCGUGGAUUUGGCAAGACUGACUGGCCAGACAGACGGAAGGAUCAGCAUCCUCGUCUGCAUCCCUUGCUGAGAUCACAUGCUCAUGCUGCCAGGCCCAGCUUCUGUGUGACUGUGGGGACCCUGAACUCAGGUCCCCACACUUGCUUGGCAGGCACUUUACUCCAGGAGGCAGCCAUCUCUUCAGUUCCCUAUCUCUGCAUUUUAAACAGAAAUCAUGAACAUUAAAUCACAUGACAAAGCCGCAUCUACCUGGUUGCCAGGAGUCCUGUGGCUGUAUCUUUUCAAUGCCACUCCUAGUUCUCCGUGGCAGGACUUAUUUCUCUAGCUCCCAAAUGUGGUGUCUUUGUUAGAGCAUUUGUAUCUUUUAUCACAGGUAUUUUGUUGAGGAAUAAGUUGAGUCACUGCAUAGAGAAUUUGAGAAGGGUGCCUAGUUAUGGCACUUAGCAGUGUAUGACUUUUCGAUAAAUCUCUUAAUAUCUGGAAACCAUUUUCUAUAAAAAAAAUUAAGCUAUGUAAUAAGGCCUACUUCACAAUGCUGUGCUGGGCCAAUGUGAAAUUGGAUAUUAAAACUGGGCACAUGUCAGGUUUAUUGCCAAGAUGGGGAAGGAAGUGGAUGCAGAGGGAACCCACAAACCUCACUCCUUCCUCUGGGUCAGCUCUGCCACCUUUCUUUUGUGAAGAAUGGCCUGCUGCCUGGAAGACAUACCUAAGGGCUAGAGACCUCUGAGUCCUCCAUGAACCUAGAAGAUGUCCUCUUGAUUCUGGUCAAGAACAAGGUACAGUUACUUGUUCUCAAUACCCAGAGUCAACCUGAUGCACUAUCGUAACAGCAGACUCACCAAGAACUCAUCUGUGACCCAGACACCCUGCUCAACCCCUUCCUGAAUUAUUGCUAUGCCCAAUGCUCAAGGCUCCCAUCAGUGCCUCCCACUGACUAAACCUCAUCCUAAACCAAAGUACAGAUGCCCCUGCGGUGGGCUUGUAAGGGUCAGCACCCAGAGGACAAAGACAGAACUGUGUCCCUAAGGUGGGAGAGGGGUGAACAGGACCCAAUAAGUGUUCAAGCUAGGUUUCAAGUGUGAGAGGCGUGAGAGAAGAGACACAUUGUGUCUCCCCAAGCAGAACCCAUGCCCCAUGCUCUUCGGUAGGUAGAGUGCAGUUGCCAUGUGAAGACAAGGCACAGAGUGAAGAAGCACCUUGUGGUCCUUUUCCCUAGAGAGUGUGGAAAUGCUCAUUUCUUUUCCUGUGUUCAGAUUGAGAAUAUCCACAGCAAUGCUGCAACAGGAAGGGCCCAGGCUUUCCCCUUACAGACACACUGCUGCUGCUGCUGCUGAAGGUUGGUUGGUUGUUUCGAUGAGUGUUGACAGCAGUAGUGAGACCUCACUAGUCAUACCUAAGUCAUGCACAACUCCAUUUCAUCUUAUCUGCAGUGCUGGGCAUAGAACCCAGGUCCUUCCUAGUCGGCCUCUCUGCCAGUGAGCCACACUCUCAGCCACACUCUCAGCCCAUUGUGGAUAUUUUUCAAAGGUUCUUGAUCACCUCGAUACUACCUUGAAAUUUCAGCAGUUAUUCACCCCAAUUUUAGCUGUUGUUGCUAAAUGAGGAAACACUACCAAUUGCUGUUAAUCCAUGUUGUCUCCAGUUCUUUGGUGAUUUUACAUGGCAUGUACAAUGUAUUUAAAUCAUAUCCACUCUUCACUAUCCCUCUCUAACUUUUCUUGGAACCCUCUCCCUCAGAUUCCCCCAAUUUCAUGUUUUUUUCUUACUUUUUACUUCUUCAAAUAACACAAGCUAGCUAUUGUCAUGUCAACUUGAAAUGGCCACUUGAGAAGAGAACCUCAAUUGAGAAAAUGGCCCCACUACAUUGGCCUGAGGUGCAUUUUCUUGAUUGAUGACUGAUGUGGGAGGCUCCAGUUUACUGCGGGGGAGGGGGGUCAAUGCUGGGUUAGUGGUCCUGGAUGCUAUAAGAAAGCAGACUAAGCAAGCCACGAGGAGCAAGCCAGGAAGCAGCCCUCCAUGGAUUCUCCAUCAGCUCCUACCUCCAGGUUCCUGCCAUGAGUUCCUGCUAUGACUUCACCAAGUGGCAGAGUGUGACCUGAGAAUUGUAAGAUGUAAUAAGCCCUUUCCUCACCAAGUUUCUGUUGGUCAUGUUGUUUAAUUACAAUAGUAGGAACACUAAGACAUAAUCCACUGAGUCCAAUUACUGCUGCCUAUGGAAGGAGGGCCAUCCAACAGAGCCCGGACCACAUCCCUAGAGAAAAUGCAUCCCCUCUCUCCCAGAACUCAUCUGAUAAUAAGCUCCACACCUAGGUUUAGAAUCUCAUGAGUUGACUGGUUUGAUAGUGUAUAGGCAAUCAUAGCUGUUGUGAGUUCAUGAGAACAACAGCCCUGGCAUGUCCAGAAGACCUUAUUUUGUAGCUGUUGUCUCCAACCUCUGGCUUUCACAAUCACCUUCUUCCAGGAUGUUCUCUAAAAGGGUGUGUGUGUUGUGUGUGUGUGUGUGUGUGUGUGUGUGUGUGUGGUGGUGGUGGUGGUGGUGGUGGUGGUGGUGGAGGUGGGGCUUCUGUUUAGGACUGAGCACUCCACAGUCACUUAUUUUCUGUACUUUGAGCAACUAGGAUUCUCCAGAGCCAAGAACUAUGAGGAAGAGAGAAAGCUGCACUAAUCUCUGGGUAUAAAAUUAGGCAUUUUGAUGGCAGUUUGUACUACCAUGUGUUUUGAAAAGACUUUGAAAAGUCGAUUUAAUGAUUGUAAGCUUGCUGAACCACAGACCCACCACCCUACUCUCAGUUCUGUGGAGUCAGAAUUUUGGUAUGGGGACCUGGGAAUCUGAAUGUGCUCCUAACUCCUUGAGUGAUCUGAGGGGUAGAAUAAAUUCCUGCUAUAGAAUGUCU